Molecule: ribosomal RNA, 791 nt
Filed under: uncultured bacterium
Lineage: Bacteria
Description: bacterial SSU rRNA
Rfam family: Bacterial small subunit ribosomal RNA
Source: RNAcentral
UCGAACGAGAAAGUGGAGCAUCCAUGAGUAAAGUGGCGUACGGGUGAGUAACACGUGGGUAAUCUACCUUUUAGUGAGGAAUAACUUUGGGAAACCGAAGCUAAUACCGCAUAAGCCUGAGAAGGGAAAGCAGCAAUGCGCUGAAAGAGGAGCCCGCGGCCGAUUAGCUAGUUGGUGAGGUAACGGCCCACCAAGGCUGAGAUCGGUAGCCGGCCUGAGAGGGCACACGGCCACACUGGCACUGAAACACGGGCCAGACUCCUACGGGAGGCAGCAGUGGGGAAUCUUGCACAAUGGGGGAAACCCUGAUGCAGCGACGCCGCGUGAGCGAUGAAGCCCUUCGGGGUGUAAAGCUCUUUCGGCAGGGAAGAUUAUGACGGUACCUGCAGAAGCAGCUGCGGCUAACUACGUGCCAGCAGCCGCGGUAAUACGUAGGCAGCGAGCGUUGUUCGGAGUUACUGGGCGUAAAGGGUGUGUAGGCGGCUCUCUAAGUUUGGUGUGAAAUCUCCCGGCUCAACCGGGAGGGUGCGCCGAAUACUGAAGGGCUAGAGUGUGGGAGAGGAAAGUGGAAUUCCUGGUGUAGCGGUGAAAUGCGUAGAUAUCAGGAGGAACACCGGUGGGUGUAGACGGCUUUCUGGACCAUAACUGACGCUGAGACACGAAAGCGUGGGUAGCAAACAGGAUUAGAUACCCUGGUAGUCCACGCCCUAAAGAUGCAUAUUUUGGUGUGGGUCAUUCAGUUGAUCCGUGCCGGAGCUAACGCGUUAAAUAUGCCCGCUGGGGAGUACAGU